This 433-nucleotide ribosomal RNA is filed under the name uncultured bacterium. Its description in RNAcentral is "partial 16S ribosomal RNA". It matches the Rfam family "Bacterial small subunit ribosomal RNA", at positions 29 to 507 of the family's 1533-position model. The record is from RNAcentral.
AACGAACGCUGGCGGCAUGCCUAACACAUGCAAGUCGAGCGAGGGCUUCGGUUCUAUCGGCGGCCGAGGGAGUCACGCGUGGGAAUGGGCACUUCUCUACAGAAUAGCCCUGGGAAACUGGGAGUAAUACCGUAUACGCGCUAUUGGGGAAAGAUUUUUCGAAGAAGGAGCAGCCCUAGUUGCAUUAGGUAGUUGGUAUGGUAAUGGCCUAACAAGCCGAGGAUUCAUAACUGGGUAGAGAGGAUGAUCAGCCACACUGAGACUGAGACGCGGCCCAGACUCCUACGGGAUGCAGCAGUGGGGAAUGGUAGAACACCGCGGGAAUGCUGAAGGACCCAUGCCGGGUGAGUGAUGAAGGCAGUAGGGUUGUAAAGCUUUUUCAGCUGGGAAGAUAAUGACGGUACCAGAAGAAAAAGCCCCGGCUAACUCCGUG